This 484-nucleotide ribosomal RNA is filed under the name uncultured bacterium. Its description in RNAcentral is "partial 16S ribosomal RNA". It matches the Rfam family "Bacterial small subunit ribosomal RNA", at positions 30 to 507 of the family's 1533-position model. The record is from RNAcentral.
AUUGAACGCUGGCGGCAGGCCUAACACAUGCAAGUCGAGCGGAUGAAGGGAGCUUGCUCCUGGAUUCAGCGGCGGACGGGUGAGUAAUGCCUAGGAAUCUGCCUGGUAGGGGGGGAUAACGUCCGGAAACGGGCGCUAAUACCGCAUACGUCCUGAGGGAGAAAGUGGGGGCUCUUCGGACCUCACGCUAUCAGAUGAGCCUAGGUCGGAUUAGCUAGUUGGUGGGGUAAAGGCCUACCAAGGCGACGAUCCGUAACUGGUCUGAGAGGAUGAUCAGUCACACUGGAACUGAGACACGGUCCAGACUCCUACGGGAGGCAGCAGUGGGGAAUAUUGGACAAUGGGCGAAAGCCUGAUCCAGCCAUGCCGCGUGUGUGAAGAAGGUCUUCGGAUUGUAAAGCACUUUAAGUUGGGAGGAAGGGCAGUAAGUUAAUACCUUGCUGUUUUGACGUUACCAACAGAAUAAGCACCGGCUAACUUCGUG